This 774-nucleotide ribosomal RNA is filed under the name uncultured Neocallimastigales. Its description in RNAcentral is "partial large subunit ribosomal RNA". It matches the Rfam family "Eukaryotic large subunit ribosomal RNA", at positions 24 to 647 of the family's 3401-position model. Lineage: Eukaryota; Fungi; Neocallimastigomycota; Neocallimastigomycetes; Neocallimastigales. The record is from RNAcentral.
UAUCUCUGUAGAGUCUGCAUAUCAAUAAGCGGAGGAAAAGAAACUAACAAGGAUUCCCUUAGUAACGGUGAGUGAAGCGGGAAGAGCUCAAAUUUGAAAUCUUCAAGGUUCUACCUUGACGAAUUGUAGUUUAAGGAAGUGUUUUCUGUUAGAUGAGUAGCAAAAGUUCCUUGGAAUGGGACAUCAUAGAGGGUGAGAAUUCCGUAUUUGGUUAUUCAUUCUAGCUUUGUGAUACACUUUCAAAGAGUCGGAUUGUUUGGGAAUGCAGUCCAAAAUGGGUGGUAAAUUUCAUCUAAAGCUAAAUAUUGGCGAGAGACCGAUAGCGAACAAGUACCGUGAGGGAAAGAUGAAAAGAACUUUGAAAGAGAGUUAAACAGUACGUGAAAUUGUCAAAAGGGAAGCGUUUGACACCAGUGUUGUUUUUCCGAAAAUCAAUUACGAAUGGCUUGAUUCUGUGUUGUAUUGACCUUAUCAGCUUUCUUCACUUUUUUCGAGUCUUUCUUAAUGCACUUUUCGGUUAACAAGUCAACAUCAAUUUCUUUUGUUGUAAAAGAGUAUUCGGAAGGUGGCUUUCUUUUCGGAGAAAGUGUUUAUAGCCCUAUACUUCUACAAUCGGAGAGAUUGAGGUCUGCAGCGUAGAUCCUUCGGGGUUAGAUACACUUGUGCUAAGUUGUAGCUUUUCAUAGACAACUUGUUGACUAUGAUCAGUCAUGUAGCUUACUCGCUUAGUGCUAUUUUACCUACGCUUAGGAUGUUGACGAGACUGUCGAUCUC